Molecule: ribosomal RNA, 483 nt
Filed under: uncultured bacterium
Lineage: Bacteria
Description: bacterial SSU rRNA
Rfam family: Bacterial small subunit ribosomal RNA
Source: RNAcentral
AUUGAACGCUGGCGCAUGCCUUACACAUGCAAGUCGAACGGCAGCACGGGAGCAAUCCUGGUGGCGAGUGGCGAACGGGUGAGUAAUAUAUCGGAACGUGCCCAGUCGUGGGGGAUAACGUAGCGAAAGCUACGCUAAUACCGCAUACGAUCUAUGGAUGAAAGCGGGGGAUCGCAAGACCUCGCGCGAUUGGAGCGGCCGAUAUCAGAUUAGGUAGUUGGGUGAGGUAAAGGCUCACCAAGCCGACGAUCUGUAGCUGGUCUGAGAGGACGACCAGCCACACUGGGACUGAGACACGGCCCAGACUCCUACGGGAGGCAGCAGUGGGGAAUUUUAGACAAUGGGCGCAAGCCUGAUCCAGCAAUGCCGCGUGCAGGAUGAAGGCCUUCGGGUUGUAAACUGCUUUGUACGGAACGAAACGGUGAGCUCUAAUACAGUUUGCUAAUGACGGUACCGUAAGAAUAAGCACCGGCUAACUACGUG